GGGCCCGUAGCUUAGCACGGUAGAAGUAUGCCGAGAGCGCUCGGCUCUUAACCGAGACCGUGAAGGCGGGACUGGUCGCGGGUUCAAAUCCCGCCGGGCCCG
Molecule: transfer RNA, 102 nt
Filed under: Thermoprotei archaeon
Lineage: Archaea; Thermoproteati; Thermoproteota; Thermoprotei
Description: tRNA-Lys
Rfam family: tRNA
About the family: Transfer RNA (tRNA) molecules are approximately 80 nucleotides in length. Their secondary structure includes four short double-helical elements and three loops (D, anti-codon, and T loops). Further hydrogen bonds mediate the characteristic L-shaped molecular structure. tRNAs have two regions of fundamental functional importance: the anti-codon, which is responsible for specific mRNA codon recognition, and the 3' end, to which the tRNAs corresponding amino acid is attached (by aminoacyl-tRNA synthetases). tRNAs cope with the degeneracy of the genetic code in two manners: having more than one tRNA (with a specific anti-codon) for a particular amino acid; and 'wobble' base-pairing, i.e. permitting non-standard base-pairing at the 3rd anti-codon position.
Source: RNAcentral